Lucilia cuprina (Australian sheep blowfly) is the source of this 1141-nucleotide long non-coding RNA. RefSeq lists it as uncharacterized. NCBI's taxonomy places the organism in Eukaryota, Metazoa, Arthropoda, Insecta, Diptera, Calliphoridae. The record is from RefSeq and is a predicted model, not a curated record. The transcript has 2 exons.
ACGUUCAUGUUUGAAGGGAAACAGCCAACAACUAUGAACAUUUGCUGUUGCCUUCGUUUCUUCAUACCUUCAGACAUGUAAUAAUUUCCCAUUCAAUUCCAUUUGAAUUGUUUAGUUUAGGCUGGUUGAGUGUGUGUGCGUGCAUGUGUGGUGUGCGCCUGUUUCAGUAUGAAGAACUUUUGCGCUGACUUCGCUGCUACAACAACCUCAUCAUGUUGAAAAUGUUUACAUUCAAUAUUUUUACUUCAUUCAAUAUUUUUCGUGUGUGAAAUUUUUAGUAUGAAUUUCGCUUUCUGCUGAACAAGUUGUGUUGAAUGUGAGAGUUCGGAACACGUUACAAAAAAGAAGAAAAAAAAAAUAAAGAAACAAAAAAGUGUAUUUUUUUUUGUUCUACAACACUACUACUCCUCUUGAAGUGAAGUGCAAAAAAAUACAUAAUAAGAAAAUAAUAAUAAAGAACAAGAAUUUCCGACUAGAAAAAUAAAGAAAUUUUUAUAGUAAAGAAAACAACAACUACAAAAAUAAUCAACAAUUUCUGGUUUUUUUAUACAGUUUUCUAAAAUAAAAGUUCUUAACGCAAAAAAAAUCAAAGUGUUUUUACAACAACAAAAUUUCUUUUCAUUUAAAAAAAAAUUACAAACAAUUUUACUUUUUUUUAUAAUACAAUCAAACUUUUAUAAAUUAAUAAAUAAAUCAUAAUAUAACAACAACAAAUUGUGCAAAAAUUUUAGCCAAAAUCUUAAAAAGAAGAAGAAAAAAUAAAUUCAAAAAUAAACAAAAUAAUUGAACAAGUUUGAUAUUGUCUUCUGUACAAAAAAAGAAGCAGAAUUUUUAAUAACAAAACAACAACAACAACAAAAACGUCUACAAAAACAAUUAUACAAACAACAGAAUAGUAUACAAUAAAUAGCAAACACAAACACACUUAAAAUAACUGUAAAUUUAUGACAGAGACUGAGCAAAAGCAAUAAUAAUCAUACCAACAACAACAACAACAAACACAUUAAAUAACAGCAAACAAAUAUCAAGACUAUUUUUACAAUCUGGAAACCAAAUUUUUUACAUAAAACGAAAAAUAAACUUUUGAAAUAAAACCAAAAUUUUUUUUUUGAAAAAUUAACAGAUUAAAUAAAAAAUUAAU